This 484-nucleotide ribosomal RNA is filed under the name uncultured bacterium. RNAcentral describes it as "partial 16S ribosomal RNA". It matches the Rfam family "Bacterial small subunit ribosomal RNA", at positions 29 to 507 of the family's 1533-position model. The record is from RNAcentral.
AUUGAACGCUGGCGGCAGGCCUAACACAUGCAAGUCGAGCGGAUGAAGGGAGCUUGCUCCUGGAUUCAGCGGCGGACGGGGGAGUGAUGCCUAGGAAUCUGCCUGGUAGGGGGGGGGGACAUCCUGAGACGGGCGCUGAUACCGCAUACGUGCUGAGGGAGAAAGUGGGGGGGGGUCGGACCUCACGCGCUGAGGGGAGCUUAGGUGGGGUUAGCUAGUUGGUGGGGUAAAGGGCUACCAAGGCGAGGAUCCGUGACUGGUCUGAGAGGGUGAUCAGCCACAUUGGAGCGUAGCCAGGGUCCAGACUCCUAAGGGACGGACCAGUGGGGAAUAUUGGACAAUGGGCGAAAGCCUGAUCCAGCCAUGGGGCGCGUGUGAAGAAGGUCUUCGGAUUGUAAAGCACGCUAAGGUGGGAGGAACCGCAGUAACUUAAUACCUUGCUGUUUUGACGGUAACAAGAGAAUAAGCACCGGCUAACUUCGUG